CGGAUGUAGCCCAGUGGGAUUA
RNAcentral lists this transfer RNA (22 nucleotides) under Chionanthus domingensis. RNAcentral's name for it is "partial tRNA-His". Lineage: Eukaryota; Viridiplantae; Streptophyta; Magnoliopsida; Lamiales; Oleaceae. The record is from RNAcentral.